This 241-nucleotide ribosomal RNA is filed under the name uncultured Actinomycetales bacterium. RNAcentral describes it as "partial 16S ribosomal RNA". It matches the Rfam family "Bacterial small subunit ribosomal RNA", at positions 89 to 334 of the family's 1533-position model. Lineage: Bacteria; Bacillati; Actinomycetota; Actinomycetes; Actinomycetales. The record is from RNAcentral.
ACUCGAGUGGCGAACGGGUGAGUAACACGUGGGUGACCUGCCCUGCACUUCGGGAUAAGCCUGGGAAACUGGGUCUAAUACCGGAUAGGAGCCAUUUUUAGUGUGAUGGUUGGAAAGUUUUUCGGUGUAGGAUGAGCUCGCGGCCUAUCAGCUUGUUGGUGGGGUAAUGGCCUACCAAGGCGGCGACGGGUAGCCGGCCUGAGAGGGUGGACGGCCACAUUGGGACUGAGAUACGGCCCAG